GGGGGGUUAUGUGGCUCAAGAGAAUAUACGACUAUCUACGUAAUUUUGGAUAUUUAAGCCGGAAAUCAAAUUCCAUAAUACGGUAUGAAAAAAAUCAGUUAAAGAGAUGCUCGCCCCUCGCCUAAAUUAAUGGCUGAAUGAUCAUUUUAUUUCAAUGAUUUCAUUGUUGGGCCCAAAAAUGGCCCAGUGCCUGGCCUUGGAUGGAGUUGAAGCAGUAUUAAAGCCUGGGAAUGGAACUCCAAUUAAAGCCUGAAAUAUGAUGAUUUUGCAGCCCAUUAAAAGUUUUCAACCUAAUACUACUUGUUCACGAUGAUAAAAUAAUUGUGAGUGCAACCGGCCAGGAUUUGAAAAGAAGAAAAUCCACAACACAGCUUAAUAGACAUUAUAAGACAUCAGCCCUUGAGGCGAGUUUAGAUUUUGACCACCCCUUUCCUUUUAAAAUCUGAAACAAAAAAUAAAUACAUAUAUUGAGUCAUUGUUUGGUUGCUUCUGAAAUUCAUGCAUAAAAUUUAUUAUGUACAUAUCAAAAGAAUGUUAUUUAUAUUAUGAAUUGGUAUUAGAGAGCGACUCGUGACUUGAUAUGUGGAUGGAUAUCUGAAGCAUUUAAAUAUACAAAGAACACCCUUUACAAUCUAAAUCUCGUUCAUUCAGCCGCAUUAGUUCACCCUUUACAAUGAAGUAGUUCUACUGAAACCAUUUUUUUUUUUCCAAAGAGAAAUAAAGCUAUGAACAAGAAAAUUAGUUCACCCUUUACAAUGAAGUAGUUCUACUGAAACCAUUUUUUUUUUUCCAAAGAGAAAUAAAGCUAUGAACAAGAAAACAUCAAGAAUCAAUUCAGUUUUAGUUCUAAGUUUACAGGAUUGCACUAACCUGAUCUGAAUUUGUGUACCAGUCCCAGGAUCUAUAAAAUCCUUAAUUCUUGAAGCCUUCAGCAACUAUUUCUUGGCAAUGAGACAAAUCUCGACAGACCAGCCAGGAACUGAACCAAACCCUAGUAGUACCUAUGUAACAUGUGCAACUACUAGUGCAGAAUUUGAUGCAGUUCAUGUAUGUAUACUCCAAAGACAUCAAUAAGAGCUUGUGAACAACUGGUACAACAAAAGAUUACCAUGAAAUAGCCAUCAGGGAUUUUUCUAAGAAAGAAAUGGAAAAUUGAUAUGGAUCAUUCAUCAAAUGAACAAAAUUGAUAUGGAGCCAAAUCCACAUCAACCCUUGAAAAAAAUACAAAAUUCAUAACAAAGUCAAUAGUAAAGUGCAUCUGAAGAAAAGUAAGAUACGGAAUAGGUAUGUAACAAGUUAUUAUGCCAUUAAAGAGAGGACAUAACUGAAACGAGGAUAUUGAGAUCAACGUGUUGGAGUACAAGAGACAAUAAAGCAUGAAAUCUGUAGAUUUAUGAACGAUUUGAUGCAUUGCAGCACCAUAAAAAAUUAACUGCAAAACAAGAGAUUUGGCAUAGCACAGGAGGAACUGAGGAUCCAUUCCUCAAAAGCAGCAAAAAUGUAGUUUAUAUUAAGUAUGAGAAAAAAUCUAAUUUUCAACUCAACAGCAAUAUCAGUUUCAAAUGAAGUUACUAAUCACCAGUUUAAUUAAUUCCAUCACAAAAGGUGAAAUAUUCUUUUUUUUUCCAACCCUUGAGUUCCCAUCUAAUGAACUACUAGAAUACUUCAAUUCAUUUUUAUGAAAUAUUUAGAAACAAUAGCUAAAUGAUUGAAAGAAGAAGAAAAUGAGGCCAAAAAAUAGUUAUUUGCCAAAGUUCCAUACUACUGUUUUUGCUGAAGGCAAAUACAUGAUGCAUUAACUGUAUACCAUGAAGCAAGUAGGCGAGUGCAGGACAUUGGACUUAAUGAGCUGUCCAAAUUUGUUUUAAAUGUCCAUUUGUAGACAGUUUGGAAAAACUGAAUUCUUUUUCCUUAAAUACAUAUGGGAUGCAUGUUUAAGUUUUUCCUUUUAUAGGUCUACCAUUGUGAUAAUAUUUGGUAAUCAUUAUAUGAUUACACAUCUCAAUAUCAAGGCAACACUAUUAUUAAAACUAAGCUGAAAUGAAAAUAUUCAGACAAAUGAGGCAAGAGCAAGAAACCAUCCCUCACAAACACACUCUCGCCGAAUGUGAAGCUAUUUAUCAAUCAAUAUCAAUCAAUAUAGAAGUGAGUUUAAUUUUAUAUAAUCAUUCUCUCAAGCUAUUUAUUAUUAUUUUAUACUUCAGAAUCUCGUUUUUACUCAAUUUCAAGUUGUCCCUGUUAUUAAGUAUGAAAACCAGACCAUGAUUCUUACAUCAACAGCUUGAAUGGCUGUGCCGAUGACUUUAAACGCGGCGGCACAGUGGGAAUUGUUCAAGACAUAUCCAUAUGUACCUUAUGUAAUAGGCAUUUCAUGCUUUUAUAACUUUUGUAACUUAAGGAGGUGAUUUCAAAAGUAUUCGCCAUCCUUAGUUAUUAAUCAAUAACUUAUCAUAAAGUUUCCUACAAUACGACAAAAUUGAAAUUAAAUACAUUUAAAGUAGCACAAAUUCACCAUCUAAUUAAAGUGAAAAACGUGUACAACAGUUGGAGAAGAAUCUAACUGCAUUAGUACAUAUGUACUAUUAUCUGCAAUUUUGUAAUUAUAUACCAUUUGUAUAAAUAACACAGCAUGCAAAAGAAUCAAACCACUCAUCUGUUCAUCUCUACUGUUUCAAUUAUCAAAAUUUUCCUCUACCUGGAUCAAACAAUCUCCAAUUGACAAGCCAUAUCCCUCAGAAACAUCUUGCUCGUUUGGUCAUUUGAUCGUGCAGAAGCAGAGGUAUGGAAGCUUUACAAGAUUUUAUUUAAUGCUUUUGUCUAUUUACUCCUAAAUUAUUGUCUCUCUCAUUCGUUGUUAAGGGCAUCUCCUAUUGAUUACGAACCAUGCAAUUUAAAGUACUCUAGAAUUUUCAUGAAAAUUUGAUGGAAGGAGAUUAAUUUGGUGGGUAGGUGUUUUUAAUAUUAAAAUAAUUUUUGGGGAAGAAAAAAUUGCUUUAUAUCCUAUAAAAACUCAUAGAUAAAGACUGUGGGAGUGUUUGGCUGUAACUUCACGAAUAUUUACGUCUACGGCUGCAAUGUAGUUUAAAAUUAAAGUAAACAUUCUUUAUUGUUUUGGCUCUUCAAAUUUUUCUUUAUGGUUAUAUUUUCGUAACGUAUAUGGGUGUGGGUGUUUAUGUUUAUGUUUGUAUCUAGGUUCAGACUAUUGUAACAUAAAUUUUUACUUAAAAUGGAUUCCCAAAUGACCAUAUAUCUUAAUCAGCAACUCAGAUGAUUGAGUUAAUUGAAGUUAAAAUGUAGCAAUUAUUGUUAUCAAUGCAGCAGCUGCCAAACCGUUGGAUAAUUAUACAUGGAUGGUUCAAGAUUUUCUCUUUUUCAGGGUGGGGGUGGACAAACCCCGAACAGAUUUUUUAUCCCCUACCUCUCCCAGGAUUCAAACUGGGGAAGUUAGCCAAAGAAAGCUGCUCGAAAACCACUCAGUCAAGCCCCUAGGGAAAGAGGGAUUAUAGAUUUCAUCUUAAGUUAAAAAAUUUUAGUCACAGCCCCCUAACCCGUGUAUGCGCACGCGCGCGAGCAUGUAUAGAUCAGCGAAGAAAAAUUGCAAAAACAAAAAAAAUAAAUAAAUAAAUCACCCACACAAUUUAACUGCAAUUGAAAUGGAUAUACCUAUAAGAUUAAGAUGUGUAUGCAUGAUAGUCAUCUAGUUGUUUCAACAUAAUGUACAUCUUGGGUAUUAUCAUUCAGUUUUUACUAAAUUAAAGCACCAAUUCUUUGUUGGACUGUUUAUAGUUGAAACCGCUAUGAUUUUUUGUCUCUAGACAACAUUGAAAAUUAAUAAUCUUGGAACUCUGCUUUUACUGCUUUUACUAAUAAAGCAUCCUGCUGUAGAAAGCACUGGUUUCACUGAAGAGCUAAUAAAGUUUCAAUCUAUUGACUCGUAUAAUUGCACCUUUACUCACUAUUUGAAGUCUGAUUACUCAAUGGUGAUCAUCCUUGAGUUUUACAAAAUAAACUAAUAACAGUUAAUCAACCUAUGCAUUAUUUAACUAAAUUCCCCCAUUUUGGCGUAGAGGACCUGCAAGUUUAAGAUAGCUGUGGUGAUAGUAAAUUUAAUAGUGAGUUCAACAAAGUAGGGUACAGUUGUGAUAAGGCACCAUGACUGAGUAAGAUCCAAAUGAUAGCCUAGUUUAAAUUAGAAACAACCCGAGAUGGUCGAUUUAUAUCAAAUUAUACUUGAUUACUCAUCCACUAAUUAAAGAUUAGUUUGGUUAGCUAACUGAUGAUUAAAUAGCUUGCAGAGUACAUCAGCUGUGAACUAUUUCUCUACCAUCAGAUAUUCCAAAUAUUAACAUUUUCCAUUUUGCAGCUUUAAUCUGAGAAGAUUAAUCCUCAAAGAUCAAACAGAAUGGAAAGCGGUGGCAGUGGCGGCAGCAGCAGUAAAAAGGGCAAAAAAGUAGAGCAGCAAAGUAAGAAACGGCAGAAAACUAAUACCAUUGAUUACAUGAAUUACAUACCCGAAGCAAUAGUAUUCCAUAUACUCUCACUAUUGCCGCUGGGAGAGUUGAUUAUAAUGAGUCUUGUAUCACAACGAUGGAAAGACACAGUAGUGCGAUACCUGAAGAUUGUUCCAUCAAGUCUAAAUCUUGACGAAUGUGAGAUGCCAGGAACUAUCCUUAAAAGAGAUGGGCAGUGUUUGCUACGUAGCAAUUUUGCCCAUUCCGGUUACUCUUUACAACAGCGACACUGCUUGAUACGUGCAGCAAGAAAAAGUUUCAUAGAAUUUGUGGACCGAUGCCUCCAGCUCCAUUCCGAUUGCAUGAUCAAUAAUUUGCGGUUGACAUUUCUUCAUGAAGCUGGUGGCGAUUAUGAAUACACUAGGAAGAUUGAUAUGUGGGUUCACUUCGCCUUUACAAAAGACAUCAAAGAGCUUUCGUUGGACUUCUCUGACCUAACACUUUCAAAACCCUUGGCUCAACCAUUUGAACUGCCUCAUGGCUACUUUGCACCCAAGAUAACGAAAACUUUCAGCCUAAAGUUUUGCAAGUUUAGACUAUCUACCUUUCAGGUUUUUGGAUCCCUUAAGGGGAUAUCUUUAGUACAGGUAGAAAUCCUUGAUGGCUCGUUAGCUGAGCUAGCAUCCAAAUGUCCUGUUCUGAAGGAUGUGAACCUGGUAAACUGUGUUUUUCCUGAUCAAUUUAUGAUGAGUGAAGAAGACAUAAUAGUUGAGAAACUAUCAGUGAUUGACUGUAAAACAGAGGAGUGGGAGGCGUGCAAUAUCAAUCUAUCAACUCCAUGCCUACUGAAGCUCCAUAUAGUUGGAAACAUUCUCAUGACAUCACACAUUCGGAACGCAACAAAACUCCUAGAUGUAACUUUUUGCAUGGAGGAGAUAAAUGAAAACUAUUUACAGGGAGAUGCAUUGGGUUCAUUUUUUAUUGAGUUAGGCCACAGUCGAUCUCUAACGGUAAACAAUUGUUGCAUCCAGGUAUCAAGGUCUUCAUUUAAUUGGUUAUAGCUUAAUUUUAAGUUAAUUUGUGCCCUUAACUUGUGAAGUUUUCUUUUGUGUUCAAGGUUCUACCUGCAGGGAAUGAUUUGCUACAAGGAUUGCCAACUUACCUCAACAAUCUUAACCAUUUAUGUUUGUUAGUGGGCCUAGAAAAACAAGAAAUGCCUGGGAUAUCUUGCUUGUUAAGGAGUUCCCCAAAUUUAGAGAAUCUAACCCUACUAUUGCUGGGAACUGGACGGGUGGGCAUUACUAAAUUCUGAAAUUGCUUUCAUAGUUUGACAUUGUAGAUGAUACUAAACCAUUUAGCUUCUAUAUAUUGUAACUUAAUUUUACAGGAAAUUUUCCAAAAUGAUGCCCCACCAUUCUUUGACUUAGAAGAACGGAUUUACUGGGAUGAACGGAAUUCAACUUUCAGUUGUGUACAAAAUUCUCUUAAAAAGGUCACAAUGGACGGGUUUUCCGGAAGAAACAAUGAGAUGAAAUUGAUUCAGUUCCUGCUGAAAAAAGCGAGAGUUCUCCGGAAGAUGGAAAUCAUCUCUAUUUCAACAGCUGAAGUCAUGGAAAAAAUCCAAUAUCUGUCGGAGACGUUGUCUUACUUCCCAAGGGCAUCUCCUCUGGCCAGCAUAGAAUUUUGUUGAAGCCCUUCAACAGUUGAACAUGUAAUGUUCUAUAAAAAUUUCCUUUGUCUCGUUAAGACUUUUCGUUCGACUAGGUAAAAUAAGUAUAUGGGUGCCCUCUUGUGGAGAUUUGGAAAUCUUCACAGAUAGCAUCCAUCCAACAUUAUAUUUCAGAUAUUAUUAUGUCAGUAUCAACCAUCAACUUUCCUUCAUUGCAUAAAAAGGAACUUUGUUUCACCUUGCUAUUGUCUAUGAUGCCUAUCCUAGUUUAAAUUUGGCAGAGAAUUGCAUGCAGGAAUUCAGAAUUGAAGCUUGAGAUGUGAUAAGCUUGCUCAUUGAGAAACAAAGUCAUCAAUCAAGAUCUUCAAUCCUCUUAUAGCCUAGUUAACAUGAUUUCUCAUAUGAUUCUCUAAAUAUAAUGCUUUGAAAAAUCCACAAAAUUAAAAAAUAAGAAACAAAUCAAAUACUCCCAGCAUAUCGCACAAAAAAAUCAAAUGAUAUCAUACCUAGUUCAAAUUAAACCACCGUAGAUGCCAUAAUGCCAAAAAAAUUGCGCAAAAACACAGAGACGCAAAGAAAUAGUAGAUAAAAUUAAUUUAGAAUUAAAAAAAAAAAGGUGACAGCAAGAUAUAAUAAAUGUGUGAAAUUGAAUGAAAUUUCUUUUACCUGAGUCUGUGAAGCCAUGAGCUAUUCUCUGAAUGCAUAGCUCUGAAUGCAAAGAGUAGACGAAGACUCUAACAGAGCGCAAAUUAUGAAAUUUUUUGGCUGAAUAAUAAUUGAAAUAAAAUUUGAUUUGGUGAUAAAAAUAAAAAGCGACCUAAUUUACUAUUAACGAGGCUCAUAUAACACAAGCCCAACAGUUAAAAAAAAUCAAAUUCCGAAUAGCCCCAUAACAUUCAGCCCAAAUCAAAGAAAUAAAAGGGGAC
Molecule: long non-coding RNA, 7046 nt
Filed under: Citrus sinensis (sweet orange)
Lineage: Eukaryota; Viridiplantae; Streptophyta; Magnoliopsida; Sapindales; Rutaceae
Description: long non-coding RNA (CSIN_LNC001693)
Source: RNAcentral